RNAcentral lists this long non-coding RNA (2966 nucleotides) under Homo sapiens (human). Its description in RNAcentral is "HSALNT0082837". Lineage: Eukaryota; Metazoa; Chordata; Mammalia; Primates; Hominidae. The record is from RNAcentral.
GCUGGGCUGCCGGGUGCGCUGUGGAACCGCCUCCUGCUAGAGCAGCGGGCUGGCGACGGUCCUCGCCGGGGCGGGAAGCGGCUCAGGCUGCCCUCGCUGGCCUGCGGCGGCGCGGCUGGAAGCGCGGGCCACUCGUGCGUGGGUCACUCAGGACUGCGCCUCGCGCGACUGUGUGUGCAGGAAACAAGCAGGAAAUACCCUAAAAGAGAAUGAAGCGCCAUGUUGAGGGUCGCGGACGUCGCGAGUGCUGUGGGAAUGUGGGCUGAGGUGGAGAGUUAUGGUAGCCCGUGUUACAGGCUCAGGGGUCUGAAAGAAGCCUAAUCGUGGAGGCGGCAUCUGAGGAGGGUCUUGAAGGCUGGGCAGGCAUUUGCCCGACAGAGAUGGAGGAAGCUAGUCCUGUCUGAUGGAGGAAACAGGGCGGAGGCGUGGAGGGAGCCGUGCAGCGCUGGUGUGAGGAGCAGCGAGCAGGCCAGGCCUGUAAAGCAGAGUGAGGGAACCAGGAUAGAGAAGGCAAGUCGGGGUCCUGUGGUCGCUGAAGAAUUUGAAUGAAAUCAGUAAACAGGUGAGAGGGAUCCAUCGCAAGAGCAUGGGAUGAAAGGAGGAGUAGUCCACGGUGAUUCCUCUGCAGCGGUGGGUGUUAUUAAUCGCGUAUGUGACACCAAAACCACCCCACUCAAGCUGUGGCUCUUUCCCUAAAGUAGAAAACCGAGACCAGUUGGGUUCCAAGCAUCCACGAAGAUCUUAUUAAAUUCGUGAUCCCUGGUGGCACCAUGGAGUCAGGAUUGGCUCAUCUCAAACCUGACUCAGAAACAAAACCGUCACAAUGUGCAGAGAUGAGCGUCCUUACCGCUAUCAACGUAUUUUCUGGUGUUUUCACAGUGCUGCGCUUCCUAAUCCCCAUUCCAUGGCAAUCCACAUGCCAUGAUGCCCGGAGUCAUUAACAAAGGAGACACACAGGGGCUCCUCACGUUGGCUUUCCAGGGUUUUGAUGAAAAUCUGUUUCCUCGUCUCAUACAAUGUGGCUGUACAGGAAGCAUGGUGAUGGCAUCUGCAUGGCGCCUGUGGAGGCCCCAGGGAGCUUUUACUCAUGAUGGAAGGCACAGAGGGAGUAGGCACAUCACAUGGUCCGAGGAGGAGCAAGAGAAAAUGGGAGUGGGGGCUGCAACUCUCCUGUUACUCUGGGGGAAAGCUUAACAACUAAGAUUCAGAGCAAAGGAAGACGAUGCCGGCAGCAGGCUUUGGGUGCUUGUGGGGCAGCAGGUUGUACCAGGGGCAGGUGCAGACCCCUGCCUCCCUUGCCUUCACCACAGUCACAACAGGCCAGGCCAGCCCAUCCAUCAUGUCUCUAGGAUAUCUCAGGGGUUCAAGGCCACCACACCAUUUGCAGCACACUCCACUCGCUGAUCUGUGAUAUGGGAGAUGUGCUUAUUGGCGAAUAAAUCACCAUGUCAAGUUAACGGCCUGUGUCCAAGGCGAGUGACUUCGAGGUCAGCAUAGCAGCAUACCAUUGGAUGCAGCGGGUUCUGCUUCUGCGCACAGUGCCUCAUCAGAACAUAAAUUUUCAAAUACCAGAUGUGAUAAAAGACAACAUCGAGCUUUCUGUUUUUUGAAGGAGAGGAGAAGGAGAUCCUGGAUACAUUCUCUGAAAGGUGCCUCCACUUCAUCACUGAUCCCGACACGUGGGAGGAAGGAGAGGAGGACAGUGAAGACCAUCAGCAAGGGAGAGCAGGUUCCCUGCCCUGGAUCCCUGCCCUGGUCCCCUGCCCUGAUUCCCUGCCCCAUGUUGUAGGUCUUUGGGCUACAUUUCUACCCAUUGGCUGAACAUAAAAACUGUCCUAUGAACUAUUUGGCAGCAAGUUCACAGCAAAGAAUAUUAACUCUGUGAGGCACCUUAGACAAUGCCUGGCUUAACCCCCACUUGACAAAUAAAGACACAUGUUCUGACUCACCCACCAUCCCAGGAGCAACUGACCAGGCUGAGGAACUCUGUCCACUGCCUGCAGCCCACUUGGCCUUCCACUGUGACGUCCAGGCUGAGGAACUGUGUCUGCCACCUGCAGCCCACUUGGCCUUCCACUGUGAUGUCCUUUCCAGGACUCUGAGCAGAGAUGGGUUUAUAACAAGCAUAAAUUGUUAUUUUGUAUCGAUCUGCACAUCAAUUUAUAUAUUUUGAAAAUUAAAAGAAAUCCAAUGAUAAGAAUUUUUCUCACAAGUUAAUUAAGGAAACUAGGUCAAUGGAAAUUUCUUAGGUUAUGAAAAUAUUGAUGUGAAUAUGUUAUGUGAGAAUCAUUUCAAAAUGAGUUAAAGGGGCUGGGCACAGUGGUUCACACCUGUAAUCCCAGCACUUUGGGAGGCCAAGGUGGGUGGAUCAUGAGGUCAAGACAUUGAGACCAUCCUGGCCAACAUGGUGAAACCCUGUCUCUACUAAAAAUACAAAAAUUAGCCAGGCAUGGUGGCACAUGCCUGUAGUCCCAGCUACUCAGGAGGCUGAGGCGGGAGAAUAGCUUGAACCUGGGAGGUGGAGGUUGCUGUCACGCGACUGCACUCCAGCCUGGUGAGAGAGCAAGAGAGCAAGACUCCGUCUCAAAAAAAAAAAAAAAAAAAAAAACAAACCAGGAGUUACAGGAAUCUAGGAUAUUUUGCUUUCUGUCCCUAAACUUUGGGGCUUAAUUUGGCAGAAACUUGGGAGUGGGAGGGUGAAGUUUGUGGCGUCCUGCUUGCCUUGAAUUUGUGGUGGCCACAGAAUGCAGGCUUGACUUCAUGCAGGUUCUCAUACAUCAUUAUGGAGAACAUCUUUUUGUAUUUACUUCAAUAUUUAUUUUGUAGUGAAAAUAAAAGCAAUACCAGUUUUCUGAAGGGUUUCUUAAAUCAAUUCCUUUGUGUCCUAUAGGGCAAUACUUUGCUCCUAGAGAAGUCUGUGAACCAUUGGUGUCUUUGAUUUGUCUCAUUAGAACGCCCACCCUCAU